RNAcentral lists this ribosomal RNA (100 nucleotides) under uncultured bacterium. RNAcentral's name for it is "partial 16S ribosomal RNA". The record is from RNAcentral.
CACACCGCCCGUCACACCAUGGGAGUGGGUUUCACCAGAAGCCGUGCUUAACCGCCAACGGAGAGGGGCGUCGACCACGGUGAGAUUCAUGACUGGGGUG